UUACGGUCAAAUCACGCUGAAACACCGGUUCUCGUACGAUCACCGAAGUUAAGCAGCGUAGAGCCCGGUCAGUACUUAGAUGGGGGACCGCUUGGGAACACCUGGUACUGUAAG
RNAcentral lists this ribosomal RNA (114 nucleotides) under Acanthosepion pharaonis. Lineage: Eukaryota; Metazoa; Mollusca; Cephalopoda; Sepiida; Sepiidae. The record is from RNAcentral.